AUACGUAGGUGACAAGCGUUAUCCGGAUUUACUGGGCGUAAAGGGCGUGUAGGCGGUCUUGCAAGUCAGAAGUGAAAUUCCUGAGCUCAACUCGGGCGCUGCUUCUGAAACUGCAGGACUUGAGUGCUGGAGGGGAUAGCGGAAUUCCUAGUGGAGCUGUAAAAUGCGCAGAUAUUAGGAAGAACACCGGUGGCGAAGGCGGCUAUCUGGACAGUAACUGACGCUGAGGCGCGAAAGCGUGGGGAGCAAACAGGAUUAGAUACCCUGGUAGUCCACGCGGUAAACGAUGAAUACUAGGUGUCAGCGCGCAAGGCGUGUUGGUGCCGUCGCAAACGCAUUAAGUAUUCCACCUGGGGAGUACGUUCGCAAGAAUGAAACUCAAAGGAAUUGGCGGGG
This 396-nucleotide ribosomal RNA is filed under the name uncultured bacterium. Its description in RNAcentral is "partial 16S ribosomal RNA". It matches the Rfam family "Bacterial small subunit ribosomal RNA", at positions 523 to 918 of the family's 1533-position model. The record is from RNAcentral.